This 74-nucleotide transfer RNA is filed under the name Sorghum bicolor (sorghum). It matches the Rfam family "tRNA". Rfam says of the family: Transfer RNA (tRNA) molecules are approximately 80 nucleotides in length. Their secondary structure includes four short double-helical elements and three loops (D, anti-codon, and T loops). Lineage: Eukaryota; Viridiplantae; Streptophyta; Magnoliopsida; Poales; Poaceae. The record is from Rfam by way of RNAcentral.
GCGGAUGUAGCCAAGUAGAUCAAGGCAGUGGAUUGUGAAUCCACCAUGCACAGGUUCAGUUCCCGUCUUUUGCC